UCAGACACGUCAGAGUUUGAUCUUGGCUCAGGACGAACACUGGCGGCGUGCAUAACACAUGCAAGUUGAACGAGAAUUUGGCGGCGGAUCUUUUCGGAGGGAAGCCGUCGAAGGAAAGUGGCGAACGGGUGAGUAACACGUGAGCAACCUACCUUACACAAAGGGAUAGCCACUGGAAACGGUGAUUAAUACCAUAUGAGACCACGAUUCCGCAUGGGAUGGGGUUAAAGAUUUAUCGGUGUAAGAUGGGCUCGCGUCUGAUUAGCUAGUUGGAAGGGUAAACGGCCUACCAAGGCGACGAUCAGUAGCCGGUCUGAGAGGAUGAACGGCCACACUGGAACUGAGACACGGUCCAG
Molecule: ribosomal RNA, 356 nt
Filed under: uncultured bacterium
Lineage: Bacteria
Description: bacterial SSU rRNA
Rfam family: Bacterial small subunit ribosomal RNA
Source: RNAcentral